RNAcentral lists this ribosomal RNA (497 nucleotides) under uncultured bacterium. Its description in RNAcentral is "bacterial SSU rRNA". It matches the Rfam family "Bacterial small subunit ribosomal RNA", at positions 8 to 507 of the family's 1533-position model. The record is from RNAcentral.
AGAGUUUGAUCAUGGCUCAGGAUGAACGCUAGCGGCAGGCCUAAUACAUGCAAGUCGAACGCUCAGUAGCAAUACUGGGAGUGGCGCACGGGUGCGUAACGCGUACACAAUCUACCUCUAAGCGGGGGACACCUCCUGGAAACGGGGAUUAAUACCGCAUAAUAUGCCGAGGUCGCAUGACUUUGGUAUUAAAGCAGCAAUGCACUUAGAGAUGAGUGUGCGUCCCAUUAGGUAGUUGGUGAGGUAACGGGCUCACCAAGCCUAUGAUGGGUAGCCGGUCUGAGAGGAUGGUCGGCCACACGGGCACUGAGACACGGGCCCGACUCCUACGGGAGGCAGCAGUAAGGAAUAUUGGUCAAUGGUGGAAACACUGAACCAGCCAUGCCGCGUGGAGGAAUAAGGUCCUACGGAUUGUAAACUCCUUUUGACGAGGAAGAAAGUGUUAGAUUUAUCUAAUUUUGACGGUACUCGUAGAAUAAGCACCGGCUAACUCCGUG